RNAcentral lists this ribosomal RNA (253 nucleotides) under uncultured bacterium. Its description in RNAcentral is "partial 16S ribosomal RNA". It matches the Rfam family "Bacterial small subunit ribosomal RNA", at positions 524 to 776 of the family's 1533-position model. The record is from RNAcentral.
UACGUAGGGGGCAAGCGUUGUCCGGAAUCAUUGGGCGUAAAGAGCGUGUAGGCGGCCCGGUAAGUCCGCUGUGAAAGUCCAGGGCUCAACCCUGGGAUGCCGGUGGAUACUGUCGGGCUCGAGUCCGGAAGAGGCGAGUGGAAUUCCUGGUGUAGCGGUGAAAUGCGCAGAUAUCAGGAGGAACACCGAUGGCGAAGGCAGGUCUCUGGGCCAUAACUGACGCUGAGAAGCGAAAGCAUGGGGAGCGAACAGG